Molecule: ribosomal RNA, 420 nt
Filed under: uncultured bacterium
Lineage: Bacteria
Description: bacterial SSU rRNA
Rfam family: Bacterial small subunit ribosomal RNA
Source: RNAcentral
GAGGAAUAUUGGACAGUGAGCGAGAGCUUGAUCCAGCCAUGCCGCGUGCAGGAAGACUGCCCUAUGGGUUGUAAACUGCUUUUACAGAGGAAGAAACGCCCCUUCGUGAGGGGGUCUGACGGUACUCUGCGAAUAAGGAUCGGCUAACUCCGUGCCAGCAGCCGCGGUAAUACGGAGGAUCCGAGCGUUAUCCGGAAUCAUUGGGUUUAAAGGGUCCGUAGGCGGACAGCUAAGUCAGCGGUGAAAUCCUGUAGCUCAACUACAGGCCUGCCGUUGAUACUGGUUGUCUUGAAUUAAUGUGAAGUGGCCGGAAUAUGUGGUGUAGCGGUGAAAUGCAUAGAUAUCACAUGGAACACCGAUUGCGAAGGCAGGUCACUAACAUUAUAUUGACGCUAAUGGACGAAAGCGUGGGGAGCAAAC